RNAcentral lists this ribosomal RNA (253 nucleotides) under uncultured bacterium. Its description in RNAcentral is "partial 16S ribosomal RNA". It matches the Rfam family "Bacterial small subunit ribosomal RNA", at positions 524 to 776 of the family's 1533-position model. The record is from RNAcentral.
UACGUAGGGUGCAAGCGUUGUCCGGAUUUAUUGGGCGUAAAGAGCGUGUAGGCGGCCAGACAGGUCCGUUGUGAAAACUCGAGGCUCAACCUCGAGAUGUCGAUGGAAACCGUCUGGCUAGAGUCCGGAAGAGGAGUGUGGAAUUCCUGGUGUAGCGGUGAAAUGCGCAGAUAUCAGGAAGAACACCGAUGGCGAAGGCAGCACUCUGGGACGGUACUGACGCUGAGACGCGAAAGCGUGGGGAGCGAACAGG